Neltuma alba is the source of this 562-nucleotide long non-coding RNA. RefSeq lists it as uncharacterized. Lineage: Eukaryota; Viridiplantae; Streptophyta; Magnoliopsida; Fabales; Fabaceae. The record is from RefSeq and is a predicted model, not a curated record. The transcript has 3 exons.
ACUGCCACAAAGAAAUGGAAGAUGUCUUCAAUCCUUCAACCUGUUCCCCUGAGUUCUGAGUCCAAGACAUCUCAUGAUGUUGAUGAGUUGAUAUUUUCUCUAUCACAAUUGAAUUUGGAAAGCACGAAGGAUAGCAUUCGUCACAUAUAAAUUAUCUGUGAUUCCUGUUCUGUGUGUAGCAAUAGGCAAUAUGCAGUUGAGUUGGAUUAAAGAUUGAGAGGUGCUAUUUGUUACCUUGAAGCAGAGUACUAAAGUGAUGCAUAAAUGAAUUGUAAAAAUGAGCUCAAGAACAUAAUGCUGAUCAUACCUGUGAGUUUCUUGGACUUUUACCAACUGAGAAUUGUACCUCAGAUUGUUCCCAGCUACUAUUUCAUAUCUGCAUAUCCUCAGUGAAAUUGAUGAUAUUGUUGUUAUUCAUAACCUGCUUGAUAUAACACUUUGCAGCUUUCUUGUUCAAGCAAACAAUAUUAGAAGAACAACUGUUCAUUAUCUAUGAAAAGUAGAGUUCCAGAGUGAUCAGAUAAUAUUGUUUUGUUUGUUUGCUUUCUUCUUCAUAGUUUUA